UAUACAGUUACUGAACAAACGUACAACAAUGUUUUUAGUAAGUUUGGAAAACUUCAUGUGUGUUGUGUAUUUAUCAUCCAGAUUAUCUAUUGGCUUUGGCAUUAUAUGUGUGUAUAUAUACAAUUCUGUGUGGAGUUCAAGUGCAAUAUUUUCUAUGUCAUUCUUUUCUACACAGUAUUGUACACGUUUUUUCUUGUUAAUUAUGUAUAUUUAGUCUUUGUUAUUC
RNAcentral lists this long non-coding RNA (226 nucleotides) under Mytilus galloprovincialis (Mediterranean mussel). Lineage: Eukaryota; Metazoa; Mollusca; Bivalvia; Mytilida; Mytilidae. The record is from RNAcentral.